This 415-nucleotide ribosomal RNA is filed under the name Gastrocopta bannertonensis. Its description in RNAcentral is "partial 16S ribosomal RNA". It matches the Rfam family "Bacterial large subunit ribosomal RNA", at positions 1858 to 2597 of the family's 2925-position model. Lineage: Eukaryota; Metazoa; Mollusca; Gastropoda; Stylommatophora; Pupillidae. The record is from RNAcentral.
CCUGCCCUGUGAUUUUUUUAACGGCCGCAGUACUUUGACUGUGCUAAGGUAGCAUAAUAAAUUGGCUUUUAAUUGAGGUCGAGUAUGAAAGGGAUCAUGGGAAGAGACUGUCUCCAUGAAAUUUCACAAAACUUACUAAAUAGGUGAAAAUACCUAUAAUAAUUAUUUUAGACGAGAAGACCCUUAGAAUUACAGCUAAUAAAGUAGAAUUACUUCUUUGGCUUUUGUUGGGGCAACAUUGUUAGGAAGUAACCAACAUUUUUAGAAAAUUUUACGACUUUUUUAAACAGAAAAAUAUAAAUUACCUUAGGGAUAACAGCAUAAUUAUAUUAAUAGAUUGUGACCUCGAUGUUGGACUAGGGACUUUAAUUAUUAGCCAUUAUUAAAGAUAGUUCUGUUCGAACUGUAACACCCU